RNAcentral lists this long non-coding RNA (1401 nucleotides) under Homo sapiens (human). Its description in RNAcentral is "non-protein coding ID2-AS1:11". The record is from RNAcentral. Lineage: Eukaryota; Metazoa; Chordata; Mammalia; Primates; Hominidae.
UUUAAGGAGAGAGUAAACAUUCACUUUAGUCACCAUGUAACAAAUGCAGACAUCUCUGAGAUCACCAUGCAGUGAGGAAGUCUAAGCUGGUGGCAUGAAGAGGCCACAUGGAAAGGGCUAAAAAAGGGGCCAGCCUCAGUCAUCCCAGCUGAGCACCUGGCUGGGAAUAAAAGAGGACUCCGUGGAUGUCCAGCCCAGUAAGAUGACCUCAGCCCCAGCCACCAACUGACCAAGCACACAAGACAUCGUGAGGCUGCCUGCUGGAGCCUGGCCAGUGGGACUGUAGAGUAACUCAUUGUCGUGCAGGAACUCCUGGGAUGGUGUUGCCCAGUGACACAAUCCCAGUGUGGCCAUUUCUGAUCCCGAGAAAGCAGUCAGGAGUGGGUGGAUGCAGUUACAGUUCAUCAAGUCCUGCUAGUUCAAGUCAUGAGUCCUGAAUUCUCCAGGAGGAGCCACUAAAGAAAUGCAGAAGCAGGCAAUCCUUGCAAUAAGGCCAGCAAACUGCCAGUGUGAAGGAUGCCCAGGUAACCUGCCCAUGCCAGAACGGCCAGGAGAUGGUGGAACCAGAAUCUAAGCCCACGCCCAUCUGACCUCAAAGUCUGUGCUCCUGAGGUUCGCACCGAGUUGCCUCCUAAGACUUGCUGAAACUGGAUCACGUCCAUUUACCCAUCUCUGAGAGAAAUGCAAGCUUUAAAAAAGGAAAUAUUUACUAUGGAUAUUUUACAAUAGUUCCAAAACAUGAAAGUUUUAAAUAAGAUAUUCUUAACCAUCCUCACCACAUCUUCAGGUUCCCUUACAGCCACUGUGUUUUGACGAUUGCCCAUUAGAAAAAAAGACUAUGCUUUCUGUAGGUUUUAAAGGAAUGGUGGUGAAAUAAGGAGCAUUCCCUGAGCAGAUCUUGCCUGCGGGCACACCUCUGAGCAUUGGACCAGGCGAGAAGAGCCCAUGUGUUGGCUGCUUUGGGAUCCCAGCACUGCCAAUGGCAGGUGGGCUGUGGCCCAGGGAGAGAACCUAGCCUUUUGCAUUCUCUUGCCCCAUUUGAAAAUGGAGACGAUAGUGGCGCCCCGCUCAGUGUUAUUUUGAGGAUUUGAAUGUAUCUCAGAUGUAGUACCUGGAAAAAUAUAAGUGCUCAGUAAAUACGGUUGCCAGAUAAAAUGCAGGAAACCUAUUUAAAUUUAAGUUUUGGCUGGACAAUGAAUAGAAUAAUUUUUCUUAGUAUGAGUAUGUCCUUAUAUUUCAUCUGCUAAAUUUAGCAACCUCCUCAGUAAACGAUCACUACAAUUGCAGAAACGCCUUAUGACAGAUAUAGUAAAUCUGUAAAGAAAUAGGAACUUGCAUUUAUUUUUACUAAGCUCUGACUGGUUAAGAUAACUGGGCAAGAGAAGAUAUCUUCGACUAAAC